UUACAAUAAUUUUUAGACAAAUUAGGACAUGAACCUAAUCCCAUAACCAACAACAGCUGGCCUGACUUGAAUUUUUACUGACGAAAUGGCGAAGAUAUUCGGUUUCACCAUAAAUUUAUAAAGAUGCCACCCACCCCACCAUUCUCUUUUUCCUCACCCACUCCACCGAUCUGCUCUCUCUCUUCUCUCUCUCUCUCUCUCUCUCUCUCUCUCUCUCUCUCUCUCUCUCUCUCUAGCUUUCCCUAAAUCAUCAACCAUGAUCCAUAAAUUCAUGGAUCGUAAAUCGCUUUGGCAUGCCUGUGGUGAUUCCGAUGAAGCCCAAGCUUGACUUUGUCGGGCGGCGAGAUCUAUAAGUAGCCUAAGCUCCUCUGUGUAUGAGGCAAUAGAACAUACUUCAUAUGCCGAUGUCGCCGGAUUGGUUGAUUAAGUUUAUUUUUGCGGAAUUACGGUGUUGAUUUGUGAGGUUUUGGACUAUGUAGGUUUUGGUCUCCGAGGAGGUGGACGAGGUGGACGCUUUAAUCUAGCCUUGUAAUCUUGUGUUGGAUCUAAGAUCAUUGUUACUGAGCUGUGGAAUAAUUUGGCUGAAAUAAUGAGGUCUCUCUCUUCUUUCUCUAUCUCUCUCUCAGUAGCAGCAUAAACCUCCUCAGUAGCAGCACUACAAUAGUGAAUCAAACAAUGGAAGCAACAACAGCCAUAGCUUUGCAAUCUGAUAGUAGCAACAUUUCAAUAAUGAUCUAAACAGUAGCAGUAGCAGCUAGCUUCACAGUGAGCAGUAGCAGCUAGCUUCACAGUUCACAGUAAGCAGUGGCAGUUAGUUUCACAAUCGGCAGUAGAACUGGCAGUAGCACCUUCCUACUCAGCAGUAAUACCUUCUUACUCGGUAGGCAGUAGCACAUCUCUCAUACAGUAGCUUACUCGGCAGGCAGUAGCACGUAUUUCAUACCGUAGCAGUAGAGAGUAGCUUACUCGGCAGGCAGUAGCACGUCUUUCAUACAGUAGCAGUAGAGUAGGUAGUGAAGGGUAGUUUGGUAAAAUAUGUAGUGACAGAUGACAUGUAGAUAUUAAUUUGUCCUAAUUUGUUAAUUUUUGUCCUUAAAUGUGUAAGAUAUUGUAUAAAGGAUGUAUUUGUAAAUUGCCGCGGUAUAUGCCACCCAGCAGGCCCAGCAGCAGCAGAUGUUCUAGUACUUACAGGAGUUUACAGCUGCCCAGCUUCAGGAACUUCCGGCUCCGCCCAUGCCUACGCCUAUACCGCUACCUCAGCCGUUGCAACCUCCUCCACAGCAGCCCCUAGAAUCGGAUAUUGAUUUAGACGAUCUAGAUUUUAUGUAGUUGAUCAAUUAUAUAGUUUUAUGUGCUUGUUGUUGGUUAUAUGAAAUUGUUUUGAUGUAUUUUGCAGCUUGCUUGGAAUGGUAAUUUAGAAAUUUUGAGGUUUUUUUUUUACUGGAAUGGACUUAUAGCCGACAAAACAUGUAAAAUAUUAGUCGGCUAUAAUAUUUUUAAUUUUUUUAUAAGGUCUAGCCGACGAAUUACGGCAUGUUUCAUCGGCUGAACCCUUCUAAAGCCGACGAAAGACUAUAUUUCGUCAGCUAUAGUUAUUUUUUAAUUUUUUAUUGCACACUUUAGCCGACGAAUAUCUUAAAUGUUUCGUCGGCUAAAGUCUCAGACUACGGUCGACGAAACAUUUAAGAUAUUCAUCGGCUUAAUUCUGGGACAAUAGUCAACGACGUCUUCUUGUUUCGUCGGCUAAAGUCAUCGCCGACGACUCUUUCCCGACGAAACCAAAGCCGACGAAGGCUCGUCGGUUAAGAUCUUAGCCGACAAAUUUAGCUAACAGGCCGACGAAACUUUUUCGUCGGUUAAAGUGCUUGUCCUAGUAGUGUUAGUAACUAAUAUGUAGUUUACUACAUUUAAUAUUGUAGGAUUUCUAGUUCCUUUAGGUUUUAUUAUUUUCUAGUUCCGUUCUAAAUAGGAUUUAGUCAGGAGUUAAGGCUUAUAUAAAGCCACCCUCUAUGUAUUAUUCAUUGAAUUCAACAAUCUAUCAAAUUAUAAUCAAUUGAGAGUUUUUCUCUUAUUUUCUGGUAAAUUACAGAGUUUAAUGCUCGUCAGCCCCCCAACCCCCCCCCCCCCCCGGCAUGUUUCCCGCCUGCGUUAGUUGGUAUCAGAGCGGGUUUCUCCUGUCUCUUUUAUCUACUAGAUUAUCCAUGGCUCAUGAACCAGUUAUAAAAGCAUAUUUGGAUUGCCUUUUCGCUCAGAUAACUGCUACUAUUAACAACUUUCAAGCUCAAAUAGGAGGAUUUCAAACGAAUAACAACAAUUGCAAGAGAGAUCGAGGAGGAGCAUCCAAGUGGCAAAAUCAGGUUGCUAAUCAUGCAUUCUUUAUGUUUAUGGAGGUUCUAGAACACAAGCAUGUAAAGAUUGUUUCAAACCGUCUUAAGAGCAUUGCUGCUGAUUGGUGGGAUGAUUUGCAAAGAGAUGAAAGAUGCAAGGUAAAGAACUUGUUCGAACAUGAAGGAAGAUGAAAGGUCUUCUUAGAGGAAAAUUUCUACCUAGCGAUUUUUCGAUCAAGAAGUAUCAUUCUAAGUUGGAAGAGAGGAAACUAAAAGUUGACAAGUUUGCUUUGCCCGUUGUGAGUAAUAUUUUGAUUGAAGAAAAAUCAGAAGAAUUUCAAAUUGAAGAAGCUCCACAAGAAAUCAUCCAUGAAUUCUCAAUGGAAGAAGUACGACCAUAAAUUAUCCUUGAAUUUCCAACGGAAGAAGUUCCACAAGAAAUUAUCCAUGAAGUUCCAACGAAUGAAGCUACACAAAAAAUUAUCCAUGAGCCUCCAACGGAAGAAGUUCCUCAAGAGCUUAUCUAAGAACAAACUAGAGAGGAAAUUGUUUGUAUUGACAUGGUUAAAAAUGUUGAAGAAAGCUUGUAGCCUCAAGUUAUUCAUUCUAAACCAGAUGUCAUUAAAGAAUACAAUUCUGAGUGCCCAGAAGAAUCCGUCCAAGUUGCCUAUGACAAACUCAUCUUUGGAGUUGAGUUCAUGAUUGUGCCGUCAGAGUUCGCAACAGAUCAUGCUAAUAAACCACAGGAUCAACCAUCGAAUGUCUUGGGUUUUUCGUCAACAUAUUCUCGUUUCUCAUUAAAGAUUAACUCGAGGUCGAGUUCUUUUCAAGUGGAGGAGUCUGAUGCAGGACAAGAUUUUAGCCAAAUUCAGCAAAGAAUAUCGAAACGAAAGAAAUGUCGUCACAUUAAUAAGAAUGAUUUGAAUAUUACAAAUUGGUAUUCAAAUAGGCUUCUUAAUGAUGGAAUUAACUAUAAAUUACUCUUUUGGAUAUAUCGGGAUUCUCGAGCAAAAAACAUAUUUUGGAUUGUGAAUCGGAUUAGAGUGGAUUUUGGCUAGAAUGUCUGUUUGGAACGCAUAAUACAUUUUCGGAAUGGGAAUAACGAGAUCUACAGGACUAACUUUUGUGAGCCUCGUCAGAUUUAGGCUAAAAGAUGUCGUUUUAAUAUUCUGAUUCAGCAUUUAAUAUUGUUUUAGGAUUUCUAGUUCCUUUAGGUUUUAUUAUUUUCUAGUUCUAUUCUAAAUAAGAUUUAGUCAGGAGUUAGGGCUUAUAUAAAGACACCCUCUAUGUAUUAUUCAUUGAAUUCAACAAUUCAAUAAUAUUUCAGAAAACCCAGAGAUUUAUCUCACUUAUUGUCUUCAAAUUCGGUUCGACGCUUGUCUACCGUUUUUACCUUUCUACCUAUAGCUUUCACUGCGUUAACUUCGCUCUCAUCUAGUUGCCCUACAGCGCUAGUGUCGGUCUUUGGCCAUGCCAACAUCUGACGGGUGUGGUCGGACAGGAUUCUCUGUUUGAUGGACGAGGUUGGAGCUUGGUGGUUUUCAUACAAAACUUGUCGCAAAAUAUGCUCAUAUAAAUGAAAAAAAAAAAUCGGGUUUUGGUUUUCUUUAUAAGGUACUUGACUUUGAAUUCUGGAUUAGGGCUUCAUUCAGAACUAGGGCUUCAUACUGGUAACUUGUUUUAAAGUUUAAUUUUGUGAUAUCAGAGAGUAUUUUUUUUUUUUUUAGGUAAGGUAAAAUCUUUAUAUAUAAACCAAAUUACAGACCAUGAGAGAUAUCGAUGGUGGAUAAACCCCACAUGCCUCCCUACCAAAAAUACAAGCGAGUAUAUAGGACAAGAACCGAUAAGGGUUCAACUACAUCCUAACCUAUUCCAGAAGCCUCCAACAUCAAGAAGAAACAACAUCUUCUAACAUUACAUACCAAAAUCACUAGCAUAUAUGUAGAGCUAACCUCCCCGUUACAUUGACAAUAUGAGAACACCGACCUUAAAAUAGUCUACAAAAAUGACACCAUAACCAUGACACAACGAUACCAACCUACCAAAACCAUAAACCCUCUCUCAACAAGAGAAGGCCUAAACCCUCACUCAAAGAGGAGGGACUAGUAAACCUACACAAAACCAGAAAACCCAAAAAGAAAACUAAAAAAAAAAAAAAAAACCAAAAACAAAACUACAAAAAGGAUCCAAGAUUAAGCCCAAAAGGAACCCAGAGAAGCCUUUCAGAGAGCCAACCUAAAAGAUGCUCUGACAUAUCUUGAAACAGCUCGUAUGCGUUGCCACUGGUGUCGGUCGCCACCCGAAGAGCGCCACCAUUCGCCUCCACCGCGAGGAGGUGGCACAUCACCUCUGAAAUCUGGAACAUAUAUGGUUGGGAUACGCAACCCAUGCCAAAUCUACAAGUUGAUCCGAGCGAGCUUACCCCCUUAACACCGUCAACAUGAUCGACCGCGACUCUUGUUUGCAAUUCAACCUCCCUGUCGGUGUAAAGCGACACUUCACCUCAACCUGCCGAACCACAUCUCAAUCUGAUAUGUGAAAAGGGUCGCCUCUCUAGUUCCUUGUCACGAGCCUAUAAGAAGCGACCACCAUUUAGCCACUGUUAACUCCUAUUCGACAACAGCGUCAACGAAUGCGCCGUCAGACGGAGAUGAGGAAAAACUUUUGAAUCCCUAGGAGUGCACGGGUAUUUUGGAGAGAGAGCGAAGAAGUUUAUUGAUAUCAAAGAGAAAUUGGGAGAAAAUAAUAGUUGUAAACUUGUAAUUCAUCUAUGAAUAAAAAGUAUCUAUAAUGCAUAAGGAAAGGAAGGUACAUAAAAUCCUAGUACACAAUACUAUUUUGUAAUCUAGUGUGAUAUCCCCAUUUUUAUACUGAUUCACUUCGUUUUCUUUUUAAUGAGCUAAAGUACUCAAAUGUUGUAAACCAGCUUUUCAUGAGUUGAAGUCGUAAACCAACUUUUCGUCAGUUGAAGUCACAACUUUUUAUUUACAAGAAAAAAAAUUAUGUCACUAGAUUAAAUGAUAUCGUACAUAUUAUGUUAAUAGACCGAAUAAUACUAGACAUAUUGAUUCUAGUUCUAACUAUCGAUGACAUACCUAGAUCGUGCAUCUAUAUUUAGACCAAAAAAACUAAUUCAGACUGUAAAUUGCGAGUUGCUCAUUAAAUCAGGUACGUUUAGGUGAAAAAAGUCAUAAAUUUAAAAAAUAAUAAUAAUACUAAAAAUUAAAUAAAAAAAAGUGUCCUGAAAAUGUUGCGUGUACAGUGCAAACCCUCCAAAGCUCCCGUCCUUGGUGACCAAGUUUACCGUUUGUUUUCAUCUACCCCGUAUCCCAAUUCUAUCCCCCUUUUCUGUCACUUAAAUUCUCUCAAAUCUUGAUCCAGAACAGAACACCCAUGACAGAAAACUCACCAGAUUUGCCACGAGAAUGCUGGGAACACAUAUUCAAUCUCCUAGACCUCGACCACCCCUCUCAACUGUCCCCCCUCUCUCUCGUCUCCAAGCAAUUCCUCCACAUCACCAAUCGCCUCUUACUCUCUCUCAAACUCUCCGACCCAACACUCCUCCCAAUCCUACCUCGUCUUCUCCACAGAUUCCAAUGCCUCAAAGAAAUAAACCUCUCCGGCUUCGGCGGCGACUUGAACCCUGUUCUUCAUCGAAUUGCCAUAUCUGGGUUGAACCUCCAAUCACUCGACAUCUCAUCCCGACAAACUUUACCCGUAAAUGGAUUAAGAGUGUUCUCCUCCAAAAUGAUGAACCUGACGUCAUUGAAUUGCUGCAGAGUCGGAUUCUUACAGGACACUGAUCUAACUCUGAUAGCAGAGUCGUUUCCUAUGCUACAGGAGCUUGACAUUAGCUACCCAGAACAGGGAUCCUCAACUGGGUCGUCGGAUUGGAAGCCCAUAUCCGAUUCGGGUGUACUUUCGCUGGCAGUGAAUCUCAAAAGCCUGAGGAGGAUCAACCUUUCUGGUAAUGACUUCAUUACUGAUAUGUCCCUUUUGCAUUUGGCAAAGAAUUGUGUGUUGUUGACCCAAGUUGUUAUUUAUGAAUGUGAGUUCAUAACACAUAAUGGUGUGGCUAAACUGAUCCGUGCUUGUGGUCACUUGAAUAGUGUUUCGUUUUGUGGAGUUGGGGAACCUAUGUUUUAUCGUUUUGGAUUUUAUCGUUAGGAUGUCCAUGGAAAAGCUCCAAGGCUUUAUGUGCUGUUGAUUUUUCGAACACGUUGGUUCCGGAUGAAUUGCUUUGUUUAGUAGCAGAAGCAUGUUUCCCUAUGAAGAAGAUUGUUCUUUGUAAUUGUCAGGGUUAUAGUUUUGCUGGAGUUUCAUUUUUGGUGAGGCAUUACCCGUUGGUUGAGCACUUGGAUCUUGAAAGAACUUUUUUUCUUACAGAUAAUGAUAUCUUUGAGCUAUCCAAGUCGCUUGGUAGUAUCACUUAUAUAUACCUUAGUUAUUGCCAUAGACUCACCAGUGUCACCUUUGACACCCUCGUUAGAAACUGUCGGGUUUUAAAUGUAAUCAUAAUGGCAGGAACGAAUGCUGGGGCUGAAGCCUUGGAGUCAAAAUUCUGAACUUGUCUCACAAUAGGUUAAUGGGAAAUGGGGUUAUUGCAAAUUAUGUAUCGGUUUUCCCCAAUUUGGAAAUGCUAAAUUUGAGCGAUUGUGUAAAAAUCACAGAAGACGGCAUUGUAGAAGUUUUGAAGAGAUGCUCUAGGAUUAGGCAUUUGGAGAUAAGCAGAUGUGGUUUGAUAGAGAAUCUUUUGAUAGACUUUGAACUUCCGAAGUUGGAGGUAUUGUGUGCAAGAGGAUUGAUAAUUGAUGAUGAUGGAUUGACUAUAAUUGGAAAAAGAUGUCCCAGGCUACAGAAAUUAGACGUGUCGGCCUGCAUGGAAGUUACAGCGAAGGGGGUGAAGGAAGUGGUAGCGUACUGCAAAGAAAUUAGGGAGAUAAAGUUGAGGUCGUGCACUAAAUUCAGUUAUGAUGUCAUUCCUUGGAUGCUGUUAUCAAGGCUGUCACUCAAGACAAUUGUACUCGGCUUCUUUUCGUUCUCUUCCUACUGAGUGCCAAAGAAAACAUAUUGUGCAUGAGGGAGUUCUUGUUUGUGCUGACUAGCGUCUAUAGUAUUAUUUCAAUGAAAUUUUCAAUAUCUCAGGUGUACUGAGAUAGAAGAUAUGUUUUUCUUCAUCUUAUACUGCAACCUCAAUUAUUUUGAGUUUUUGACAACAAUUUAUUAGCUAUAUGGUAAUUUGUAGAUGAUGUUUCAGAUGUUGUUAUUACUUUUCAGUUUGGAUCUUCCCACAUGAAUGUCAUUCAGUUACAAGAAACUAUUAUUGGUUACUAACUCACAGGCGCGGGUAACUUAUCCUACAAGCAAAGCCUCCAUAUUGAGCAAAUUAUAAGCAGAUAGGAACCAGCAUGUCAACUACCGAUGUGAUUAUGUGAACAGUUUGAAGUUUUUAUUUUCUACACUUCUCAAGUGCAGAUACUAGAUAGGAACCAGCAUGUCAACCAAUCGGUUCUGAUAAACUGUGGCAGAUUUUGCAGUUCUAUAUUCUGCAGUACCUCACCCAUCAUUCUUUACUGGAGAUAUGAUACAUGUAGCUACAAAUCCUUUUUUUUUUUGGUCGUUUUACAGCCUUUAUGUGACCUGCAGUUUUUGUUUUUGUGUAAAAUACUAAAAUGUCUCUUCUGAAGAAUUCGGAUUUCUCGAAGUUCAUUUUGCUUGUUGGCUUUCCGGUCAAUGUGAUGUUUUGAAGUUUAGCCAAAACUUACAAGCAAUUGGGUUAAGGGAAUCCUUAUAUGUGUGAUCCACAUGCAAAUUUUAGCAACUGAGCAUUACAAAGCAGCGGAAAGGAAUGCAUUAGAAAGCAGAACUUAUAAACAAGAUUAUGCAGAUACGAGGUUAUGUAAGAGGUGAACUUUAUUUAAACUAUCAAUGUGACAUACAAUCGUGCCUUGCAACACACUCAAAAGGAGUGAAAAGAAAAGGAGAAGAAACCAACAUGAACUAAUCUAUUUCAUUCUAUCCAUACAGAAUUAUGAAUGUAUGGUUAACCAGAAAGGUAAAUUACUGAAUAAACAAAGAGAGAACGUAUUCAAAUGCUCUAAUUCUUGUAAUGUUUCUUGUACUCUUGUUUGACAUCUGGUGUGUCCCGGAGACCAAGUUUGGAGAGAACAAGGCAGUAAGAGUCCCAGUCAGUUCUUCGGAGGUACUUCAAUAGCUUCUUCCUCCUCUGCACCAUUGCUUGAAGACCCUUAAGUGAAUGCUUAUCCUACAAAAAAAAAAAAAUCAGAGUUGUUACAUGGAGACAGAAACUUGUAACUGAAUAUAUGUUAAGCAUAUUGGUUUAAUAAUAAAAAAACUAAAAGCAAAUAGAUGAUUGUCACCUUUUUGUGUAAAACUGAAGAAAGGUGUUUGAUCUUUGUAGUGAGCUGUGCCACUGCAGAGUGAAGAAAAAGGUUAGCAAACAUCCAAAGCCAUCACAAAUAGAAACCAUACCGUUUGUGUACUAAUGGUUGAAAUCUUUUGUAUAUCCCAGCCAGGAAAAGAAUAAGAAAUCUGUUUUCCAUAAAAUAAAUUCUAAGGGACCUCCAAAUUUGUUUAUAGACCUCCCCUGCAAUUUUAUACCCAAAAGUUAACAAUUUGCUUUCAAAUUAAGAAUAUAAGAACCAAGACAGUAGCCAUCCCCACCAGCCCCUAAGACUAUGAACACUAAGGUGUUGUAUCAAUGGAUUACUGUCCCGGGGAACUAACUACAAGGCGUCAUGCUCAUGCAACCCCUUCAACAUUGACUACAGAGUUCAGAUGGACUCCCCUAACAAAUCGGAUGUUUUCCUUUCUGAUUGCAAUUACAAAACUCUACUUGCAUGAACAAGAGCCUAAUAUUACCAUACUUUAAUGCCCUUUCGUUUCCAGUAAUCCCUUAACACUAAUAUCACAUCCAUGUUGUAGCUGCAGUUCAAAAUACAGGAAAUUGAAUUCCAAACAAAGUUCAGCAAUAAACCAAAUACCAAUUUUCCACCUUGUACUCUUCCUCCCCUUUCUGAUAAGCAAUAGAAACUUAUUCACAACCAAGGAAUUCCUAAAUUCUAAUAUCACAUCCAUGCCAAUCGAUAGACGUUUCUGUGAUAAAAAAAAUUCACGGACAUAUGUACGGGUAGCCUCUUUGAGAUUCCUAUAUCAAAAUAAAGAGGGAGUAGAACAGUCAAAGAAACCAGCCAGACUCAAAUCUGCACUGAAACAUGAAAUUCAGUGUUCAACCAGAUUUUAGGUCUCAGACAUAUUUCUUCAUAGAAUAACCAAAUACUUUUUCUGUCUUCCCCUACAGGUAUGACAGUAGAUGAACUAGUAGUGAUAUACAAAAAUAUAAAUGUUACAAAUAUUAAGAUACGAGGAGGAAAGCCUUUUUAACAUUACGAAUUGCAUGCCACCGAUAAAUAUUAAAGAUACACUUGUAUAGAAAGAAAGAGAAGACAAAAGAUGUAUUCUUCUGUAACUAAAAAAGAUGUAAAACAAUACAAUAUCAAAACCUAUACCUUGUACUCGUGAAGAACCACAAUCUGACUCUGACAUUUUAAAUUCAUCUCUAACUUUGUCAAGCUCUAUUUUUAGUUUUUCUGCAGCUGACAUGUUAUCUGGAUGGAAAUACUGCAUUCAACAUAAUAUAACAGAUUAGGCACCAAACUGCAGAAUAUAGAUCAUCAAUCACAAUAUCACUUCUUGUGAGAAUGAUAACAAUACAAGUGCACAUCAAACUCUCUACAAGCACACUUUCCAAAGAAUUAUGAACAUAAGAAGACCUAGAGUAACAUAACUGUGUGCCACUUAUAUAUUUCACAAUUCCAUAUCCUUAAAAGCAGAAAACAAAGAUAUCAAUGUAUGUGUUCCUUUAAGUUGUAAUCAGUUUUCCACAUUUAAGUUGUAAAUGGGAGAAAUCCCCCCAAGAUAAAUUGAAUAUAUGAAUUUUAGUGAAAAGUCACAGGUGAUGCAAAAGUCAAAAGAAUUAUACUUGCCUUCUCAGCCAAGCCUUCCUUCGGGGGUUUCGUCAUAUAAUCAGGAGUUUGACCCAAUUCUAAUAUAGGAAGCCUCUUAACUGAAACAACAACAACAUAAAUCAAUGAGUUCCAGAGGACCCCAAACUAAAAUCAAUAAAGAAAAACAUUGAAAUAUUUGUUCAAGCUAUUGUUGUAAAUUCAAAGUAAAAACAGCAAACCCCAAGUUGUUAAAUGUUAACUAAUCUAACUCCACAUACUGACAAGCCGGAUCAGGGCAUGAUCCCAGAACUUAGAGCUGGGCUGUUUUCUUUAGACACCAAGGACAUAAUUUCAGUAUUAACCAAACUGCGUAUAAGAACAUGUAAUAACAUUUCUGUCAAAUAAAAUCAAGUUAAACUCUUAACUGACAAGUUUUACUCACUGAUGUAAGUGGACACUACUUAGACAUAAAGACAGAAGAGGAGGGCUAAGAUUUGGAAAGCAUCACACUGAAACAUGGGGUUUUCAUAAACUUAUAAAUGCCAGCCUUGCUGAAAACCCUAUACUUUAAAAUGCAUGGUAUUGAUUUGGUCUAUUUCACUUAGACACUUUUGACCAUAAUACUACAUAUAGACCUAUAUUUUCAACAGAUAACUUAUUCUGCAUCUCUCAAUUAAUUCUAAACCCUCUGCUUUGAUCACCUAAGAACAUUUCUGAAUCUAUUAAAAACCAAGCUACUAAACUAAACAUGAACCCCAAUCAAAGCAGCAAAAGAAUACUCACUCGAAGAUGUCUUAUACCCCUCAUUCAAGGUGACCAACGAAUCCCUCAAGUCAUUGCGAUUGACUCCCCCAGUCCGAGACCGAGCCUCAAUAUCAUCCAUCUUCCUCAACUUGACCAACCUCUCACUCAACUCCACAAACGAAAACACCCCGCCGCCCUCGGGCCUCAACUUCCUCAGCUUCUCCCCCAACUCCUCUUCGCUAUAAAUCUUGAUAAACUCAGUCUUCAACCCAUCCUCCCUCUUCUCUCCAAUCCUCUCCUUAUCAAACAAACGCGGCAGUCCACCACUGCCCACCGCAUCCUGGCCGCUCGGCUUCGACCUUAGUAUGCUCUGAAACCUUCUCAUCGACAAUGGCUCACCCUUCUUCUCACCCUGCACAUUUGCAUUGGGUCUUAAGUGCUUCAGACUAUCCCGAAUCGACUUGAACUCCACCGCCUUGCCGUCGCUGCUCACUUUUCUCUUGAAAAGCUCGGAAAACGAAAUCUGCUCCGAGCCCGGCGGGGGCGGAGAGCUGUUGGAUUCAAUGUGGUUUGGUCCCAUGGAUCGAAUGCGAAACUCCGAGAGAUUCUUGCGGAUUUCGUACAGGGAAUCGGCAUUGGAGGGCCGGGCGGGAGGAGGAGGGUGGUUGAUGCGAGGAGUGGGUCUGCUUUGAUGUGACUGUUGCCUGAGGCUGCCUUUGACAUCGCUGAAGUAAUUGGAGAUGGAGGAGGAGGAGGACUGGGGAUUCGGUUCGGUUGGGUCGGAUGGAUCUGAGGAGGAGGAGGUGGAGAAGAGGUGGUGGGUGAGAGAUGGGUUGGUUAGGGUGCGGUGGUUGGUUCUCAGUCGGAGAGCCAUCAUCGCCGAAAAUGAUGAAGAAGGCGUAGGUUUUGAAAUGGGAAGAAGAAGAGGAGGAGAGAUUGGGGGUUUUGCCUGGGGUUUUAUUAUUUGGGCCGAUGACAAAGGUACUAGGCUACUAAUGGAACACAUUCUAUCUACUUGGUUAAUUAGUUUGCUUAUCAUCUAAUAAUAGUGUACGCUUGUUAUGUAACGGGUCAAGUCUCAAACUUGCAAUAGGAACUUAAAGGCCCAUUCCACCCAAUUAGGUAAUUAUGAAAGUAGUUAUUUUCUGAGUAAAAACUUAAAAUAGUACCUGAACUAUUGCGAAAGGUAUUUUUUUUUAUACCUAUAAAUUUUUUUUACUUGAAAUGGUACCUCAAGUAUUGCUCUGUUACCUGAUACGGUACCUCCGUUACUUUUUCUGUUAAAAUUGCCUACGUGGCAUUUUGAAUGGUACAAAUACCCAAAAUGGUACCUAAGCUAUUGCGAAAUGGAUUUUUCGAUACCUGUAUUUUUUUUAUUCUCAAAUAACACCCCAAUAUCUAAUUAUAUAUGAUCGAUAGGUAAACUGUAAACAUAAUAAACAUAUUAUCACUAUAAUUCAUAAAUAUAUUAUAUUUUUCUUUAUAAACAUAAUAUUUAUAUUUCUCUUAUGAGCAAUUUUCUUAUAAAUAAUUAUAAAUAUAUUACGUCUGUUUUUGUACAAUCCUAGAUGAGGUUUGCAGAAGCUGAUGGCGUGUCUAGUAGAUGGUCAGCUAUCCUCAUACUAACCUGCAAUAACAAGGGUGAUCGGGGGCUUCCGGUUUUUCGUUCUCUAAAGCUCAAGUCAGUAUUUCAUGGUAGAAAUGUAAUUACUAAGGUAGUUAAUGUUACCUGACAAGCUGAUGGCUGGGCCAUAUUUAUGGCCCAGAGUGGGUUUUCCUUCACUUGAAAACCGAUGUGGGACAACUCCCUUUUACUGUUACUUCAAACACCCAGUUUCCAUACACCUUCCAAGACCGUUCCCGGCCCAUCCGACUCUUGGAUGAGAACCCUAGGGCGGCCUCGGUUAUCUUAACCAUGGUGGGAUGUUACUGGUUUACAAACUUGAGAGGUUGUUUUAUGCACAACCGACUACAACGUCGUUACUAUUGUUGAGCAAUAAAAAAAAUAAAACAAAAUUGAUGCCGUAAGCUACAGAUGAUUAUCCAGAAGAAAAAAGAAAGAGAUAAUGGCAGCAAUAUAUAAAGUGGGGUUUAAUUACAUAUAAAGUGGGGUUUAAUUACAUAUUAUCCUCACUCAAAUACAGAGUCCUCAAUUGACCAAUUCCUCAUGAAGCAAACCACCGAAACAGAGGAAAAAAUAACAGAACCAAAGAGAAGGAGAUUUUCAAAUUCAAAUUAAAGAUCAGAUAUUCAAGUGUUGAUCUGUUCAUCUUCGUGAUCUUUGUGCACGUUCAAAUUCAAACUCAUUCUUAUCCAGCUGUUUGGUAUUCUCUAUAUAAAGAGGGUACGUGCAUGCAUAGAGGGCCAGAGAAGAAGACCGAGGCAGAAGGGCAGCGACAGAAGACGGAGGCAGAAGCAGGCAGAGCGACAGAAGAAAGCAGAAGCAGACAAACGAAGAAGAAGCUUCAGAAGAAAACAGGAGAAGCGAUCAAAAGAAGGCAGAAGCAAGAAGAAGCAAGCAGAAGCAACAGAGGUGACGAAGAAGCCACACAAAAGCUCAAGUCACGUAGCACAAAGCAAAGGGAAGAGAUCGACAGCACCAUAGAAGAAGAAGAAGCACAAGAGGAAAGGUAAAGAACUACUCCAGCCAGCCUCAUUUCACUUCACUUCCGAGUCUGUCCUCUCAUCAAAUCCCACACCAACAUGCUCAAAUGCGAGAAGCCUCGUUUACGGUACAUCUGGUAUCCACGAGAGUAAAUGCUGCAACAAAGCUCGCCUGGUGAAGCUUCACACGCAGUCUUCGAAUCGGUGCCUCAAAUGCUCUUCACUGCGUCAAAGGCAACAUCACAGUCACGCACCAGAAAAGUAGCUCAAGUCGCCUACAACGAAUAAAAGCAGUGAAGACGAAGUCUGAUACCUCAAUGAAGCUGCCACCAAAAUGCUCACGACCUGUUCAGUCCCCAAAGGAUGUGUCAAGGUGCCGGCUUCUUGUGUGAUGUCUAGCAGUCUCCAAGGACCACGCCGGCGCAGCGUCUCUGAAGCCUUAUAGCAGCAGCUCUCGGCUCCCACAUGUCCCAAAAGUGAUCUAUGUUUGUCAGCAAGCAGCGUCUCAAAGUCCCAGCAGCGUCUAUCAUGUUCUCGCUCAAAGUCGCUUUGACCACAACCUGCAUCAAGCAUCAAAGACGACGUCACAAAGGAGCGGCUCAAGUCGUUUACAAGGACAGUAGGGAAAGUGAAGUUUGCUGCCAUGCUCACAGCAGAUGCCAUUGUGUCAAGCUCCUGCCUCAUGUGGAAGUAACGGCUUCAAGAUUUAUCAAUCUGCAAAGCAACAAGCUGUGAUUGAAUGCGUCUGCAUCAACAAGUCUACAACCAGCGCCAUGACCACCACAAGGAGCCACUGAUAUUUUUACCAAAGCAAUGACAAAGCAAGAUGAAAAAGAAGUGUCUGCAAGUUCACCUCUUCAAAUAAACCUGGCGGUGGAGGAAAGUUCAGAGCCUGUGUACAAGACACACAUGCUUAAUCUAAGCUUUUGCUUUGGGUGGCCAUCAAAUGACAAAUGAUCAUCUCCAGGAGCUUAAAUGAAAUGACAAGAACAUGUAUAAUUGUGUUUGCCAAUUACAUAAGCUACGUGCCUUUUUCUAAAUCAAACACUAAAGGCAUAUGCCUCAGACUUGUUCAAAUGGAAGUUGAAUGGCAAGAUGACAAAAAGUUGAUCAAUGCCCAAAAUGAAUCGGUGGAGUUUGGCAACAUGCAAAGCAACAAGCUUUAGUCUCAAUUAAAAAAAAUCUGAUCAUGGAAUCGUGACUUGAUGAUGGAAGAAGACAAACUUAAUGUCAAGAUGAAUUGAGGAAAUUCGCACCAAAAUGCUGAAGGCGGAUCAAAGAGCCAGCGAACUCAGUCUUCACCAAAAUACCUUGACAACUGAAAAGAAGAAAGAAAUCAAAGCCAUGCUAUGUUCGAGUGGGCUCGGCCAGAAUUGAACCUGCCCAGAUAAAGCUUCCUUACCCAUUUUCGCACAAAGAGAAGUGACAUAGCAAGCUUCCUAGUGUUGAGAAAUUCCUUCUCGGCGAAGACCAACCAUCUCCAAGUUGUUGUUUGCUGAACCAGUCCUUCUCCAUUUGAUCAGUUUCGGUCUCAAGUUCUGGGCUAAAUAAAAAUGAAGAACGGGAAGACAGGGAAAGUAAAAAGAAGACAAAUGAGCCUCGAGGUCAUUUCGUGCCUCACCAAAUGAUCCGUCAGUCACCGCAAAGCUAAAAUGAAGCAGUGCAAAGCCCAAUCCAAGUCUCAAGGCCCAACUGCAAAGCUCGACACGACGGGUGUCCAAAUCAAAUCAACACACUACCAAAUUGGGUGUCCACAAAAAAAUUACAAUUGACAGAUUCAAAAAUAUAUCUGUCAACCCAAAAGUCGGUACAAAACCGCAAACCCAAAUUAAUAAACUACGGUCGGUUUGAUCCCAUAAAAGGGUACGUAGGCAAUCUAGCGACCUACUAGAUGCAACCACCAUUCCAAACAGAAUCCUUGACACCACCAGUCAAAUUCGGUCAGUCCAAAUGACUUUAGUCAAAUUCCUAAAGCACCAGAAAAAUCAAAUUCACUCCCAAAAAUUUGAACUACAUUCCUGGAUCACCUGAAGCCAAAGUCUCGCUCCAAAGCUCAAAUGCCUUCAGAUACAAAUCCAAACACAUUUCUAAACACUACUCUCAUUCCAAAAUCAAAGCCCUCUAACGAGUCAUUCGCUUGUUGGAAUUCUUGAACUACGAAUGGCUUGAUCCCUUCCCAAGGGUACGUAGGCAACCCAUUCAAAUUUCCGGGUGCAGCCAUAAAAAUAAACAAACACACACACCCCCCAUUGGUUAUUUUCUUUUGGAAUCAAAGGGUUUUCCUUUUAAAAUAAGAGGAUGUGAUUAAGAGAUAUGUUAUCUUGAAUGGGUCAAACUUAACAUAAUAAAAGUUAUAUCUCCCAUAAAUGUGAUAGGACGAUAUUAUGUCGAGUAUAUGCUGUACAUUUUUUGCUCAACAACUACAUAUUGGACUUUCUUUAUAAAUAGACCUUAUGUAAGAAAAUAUUUAUGGAUAAAAUGCUAAUAAUAUGUUUAUGAGUUUAAUUUACAUAUAUAUAUAUGUAGAUCAAAAAGUAAUUUGGAAUUUUUAUUUGGAGUAAAAAAGUUUAUAGGCACCAAAAAAUUCUUUAGUAGUAGAUUAGGUACCAUUUUGGGUAUUUAUACCAUUCAAAUAUAUGCCACGUAGGCGAUCUUAAUGGAAAAAUUAACAGAGGUAUCAUAUCAGGUAACAGAGCAAUACUUGAGGUACCAUUUCAAGUAAAACAAAUUCAUAUGUACCAAAAAAUACCUUUCGCAAUAGUCCAGGUACCAUUUUAGGUUUUUACCCUUAUGUUCUAGGGAAAAUGACAUAGAAAGGACUAACCAAAGAUUUAAAUACACAAAAAACCAUUUGCUGAAAGAUUUAUGCAAAUAAAGACAUGACCCAAGGCUAAAUUAAAUACUGACAUGUCUGACUCUCCUUUUUUAAAAUCAAAUGACCAAAAUGUCAUUUCUACAGUAAAAUUACACGAGUGCCACUAGAAGCAAAAGCCAUCAUACACUUCUCUCCUUCGUAUCUUCAACCCCCAAUUUCUCAGAUCCUCACUUUCAUCCCCACAAAUCCCUAAUCUCUUUGUCGUCCUCCUCCUCUAUGUUAGCCCACUAGUGUCCUUUACGCCGCUAACUAGCCGAGCCACCACCCAACAAAAGUACAGUCAACCGAAACAUGGUCGAUCCGUCGUUUUGAGAUCUGCUACUGAAGAAAAUUUGUCGGUGAGGUAUGGUAGGUGUUUGGAGGAGAUUCAUUGUUGUAAGAUGUGCUACUGGAGCAAUAGCAGCAAGGUUGGGCCCGAGCUGGCGUAGCUACGAGCUUGAAGGUAAAGGGAGCUGGAGUUGGAUAUAGUGUUGGCGGCAGAGAGUUUGUAUGUGAUUCAAAAAUUCAAGAUUUGAUAAAUUGGCUUGAUUAUGACAAAGAUAUGUGUAAAAGAGAGAUGAAUCUCAUGUCAAUUAAUGCGAGUUACCACAUAGAAUAUGAGUGCAGUUGCAGAGAUAAGACUAUUUUUUCAGUUUGGUUUUGAUACUUUUGGAUGGAAGUUGUUGAAUUCAUUUCAGUAAGAUCAUGUAGGUGUUUCGUCGAAUAUUUAUUAGAAUAUGUUGCCAAAGAAAGCUGGAAAAGUCAAAAGAGAAAUGGAUUUGGAUUUUAAUCAGCAGUGGUAGCUUCUCAAUUAAUGUCACACCCCGGUUCUUAAGUUAUUUUACGGUUAUUUACUUUGGUAUUAUUUUGGUCUAUUACCGUAUUAAGUAAUCGUUUACUAUUUAAGACUCCAAAAGUUGACUUUUUCUUCUAUUUGGAAUUUAGGAAAACUUUCUUCAUGAAAGUUGUAGCGAACGUUAAACAGAGUUCGUGGACAUGCGACACACUUAAAACGGAGUUCGUAUGAAGAAGUUAUGGUCUAAAAACGAAAGUUACUAUUUUGGUAAAAAGAGGUAAAUUUUUAUUGGGUUUUAUUUUGUGGGUGUUUUAAGUGUUGGACCAGGUGUGGACAAGCCCAACACCCACAUUCUCUCUCUCUCUCUCUCUCUCUCUCUCUCNCUCUNUCUCUUCUCGUUNAUACUACUCUACUACUACUUACUUACUACUACUACUACUCUCUACUCUACUACUACUCUCUCUCUCUCUCUCUCUCUCUCUCUCUCUCUCUCUCUCUCUCUCUCUCUCUCUCUCUCUCUCUCUCUCUCUCUCUCUCUCUCUCUCUCCCGAGCCUCCCCUGAGCUCUCUCUUCAGCCGGAAGUUCCAACGCCACCUGCCGUCGUCCGGCCAGCAACCGGCCGCCGCUCCAGCCCAGUUCGGACCCCCGCCGUCUCCUCUCCCUUCCUGGGCCGGUGACCGAUCGUGUGACACCGUCGGACGAGAGGAAUCCCGCCCGACACGCCAAACUGUCCUUCGUCGGAGCUCCCUCCUCCGGCCACCAUAACUCGAGAUUUUUGGCUCAAAUUGUAGCUCUCAUCAAGGUUAGUGAUCCCUAAAAAAGAAUCGACUUAAUUCAAUCUUGGUAGGGAGAAAUGUUUAAUUUAAAUUCUAGGGAUUUAUGGAUGUUUUAGUUCGAUUACCCUAGUUAAGCUUAGAAUUGGACUAAGUGCUGGUUAUGAAAGUUGUUGUGCAUGAUGAGAGGAUUUUUCUGUUAAAUUUUGGGGGGCAAUGGACACCGUCAGAGUACGGCUGCAGGCUGCCGCUGCCCGCGGAGCAGGCGGCAGCGCUGCCACUUGGAGGUUGUUUUUCAAGUUUUUGGGUUUGUUAUAAUGAGAGGAGUCUAAUGAAGUAUAGUUUGGAAUAUUUGGAGGAGUUUUGAUAAGGUUUGGGAUUUUUAAAAGAUUAAGAAUUUUGCCAGUUAUUAGAAUGAAAUCCGACCGUUGGAUUUCCUUGGUAUUUAUUAUAGAAUGUUAGAAUUGAUGAAUUAAGAUUGUGGUGGAGUUUGGUGUGAAUCCGGCAAGUUUAACCCUAUUAAGAGUAGUCAGUUAAACGGAAGAGAGUUAGAUGUUUUUAUUCAUGUAUUUAUUUUCUGGAAUUGAAGUUUGGUUCUAAGCAUGGUUGUUGUGCCAGGAUGCACAGGGAAUCUCGCUUGAGUGGCGACGCAGUUAUCGUCGGGCUUAUGCCUAAAUUUGUGAGUGGACAUUUUGGUUUUAAAUAAAUAUGCAUGCAAGAUUUUAUAAUCUAUCAUUUUAUUUUCCGAGCAUAUAUUAUAAUUUUCAGCUCAUGAGAUGAUCUUGAAAAUUAUUUGAGUUUGGUGCAUUGAUUAAGUGUUGGUCAUGAUUUAUGGAUUUGAGCUCGGAUUAAUUUUUUGAUAUUUGAGUUUGAUUAUUCCUUAUAAGUUUCGGAUUUCAGUAUAAUGGUUUUAUUGGUGGACUUUGAGAUUUUUAAAUGAUUUCCGAAAAUGGGAUUUUCGGUAGUUCUCCAUCAUAAUUUAAUUGUUAUUUGAGGCAUAAUGAUUUUGACUUGGAGAAUAUUUUAGCGAGUAUUUUUGAGUGGAGAUUUUAUUAAUUAUGAUUUAUAUUUGAUAUUGAAAUCUCGCUUAUAUUUAUAAAUUUGAGAAGAUUUUGACGUGUGAGAUACGUCAUUGAGUUUAUUAUAAUUUCUUAUGAUGAUUUUCAAGUACGGUUAGAAACCGUACCAUUCGUAUGAUCUUGGGGAAGUUUCAUGGAUUUAAAGGAUUUUUGUAUGAUUUUAGUCACCAUAAUAUAGGGUCGCUUUUAUAUUGAUUAUUGCUAGCUAACCUUAUUAGCGGUCAUCAUCAUAUGUGAGUCGCUAUUAUAGCCUUAUUAGCGGUCCUCUUCAUAUGUGAGUAGAGCGCGUAGCGUGGGAUGCUAUUAUAGCCUGGGAAUCAACUUAUCGGUAUUUAUAUUUAUUAGUUAGUUAGCCAUUAUUAGCGGUCCUCAUUAUAGGUGAGUAUAGCGCUUAGCGUGGGGCGCUAUUAUAGCUUGGGAGGCACCGACCCGAGCUUAGGAGGCUCCUUUUACAUGGUGAUAACUCUUCCCCUUAUUUUAUUCUUCUCAGUAAUAUAUUUGAUUAACCAGCGGGGCUGGUUUAUCUCCUUUUAUGAGAUUUCUGUUUUAAUUAACCAGCGGGGCUGGUUUGUCCUUUAUCAAGUGAUUUUUGAUUUAAAGUUUUAAGGACGUUCAAGUUGCAUGCUGUUAAGUUUUAAAAGUUGAAAAGUGGGAAAAUAUAUAAGUUAUAUAAUUGUUAAGUUAUUGAAUUUAUUUUCGUCCACUCACUCUAACGUUUUUAAAUUACUUUCCCCUGGGCCCUUUGGUUUAUAAAUGCCCAGUUUACAGGCUAAUUUAUUUGAGGUCAAGCGUAUAUUGAGUCGAGGCAUAGUUAGAGGCUGUAUCCUCUCAUUCUUAUUUCAUUGCUUUUCGUUUAUCUUUAGAUAGGCUCUGAAAGUCCAGUAGUGAAUUAUUAAUUGGUCUGUUGUUGGUUGUGGGAUUAUUUUAGUUGAGAAAUUUUAUAUUGGGAGAUGUGAUGAACUUGGGGAGCAGGAAGGCUUCAGGUGUUGAGGAUGGAUGUUUGGUAAUAGAAGUGUUUAAGUUGAGUUUUUCAGGUAAGAGUUGUCCAUUUUCAAGGUAGAUUAUGCCGAAUUUUUGGUAAAUCUUUCUUGGAGGUGGACCCCGUAGGAUUUACUUCGGAUUUAAGGGUGAAAUUCGGGGUGGGUUCUGACAAUUAAUAGUAGUAGCUUCUCAAUAGAUAGUAGCAACUUCUAAGCAGACAGUAGCAGCUUGGUCUCAAUCGACAAUAGUAGCUUGAUUUCAAUCGAUAGUAGCAGCUCCCAAUCGAUACACAGUAGCAACUUAACCCAAUCGACUGUAGUAGCUCCCAAUCCACAUAUAGUAGCAGGAUCUUACUAGUAUAUACAGUAGCAGGAGCUUUUCAAUAUACGCAAUAGCAGGAGCUUUUUAAUAUAUGCAGUAGCAGCAGUCAGGGUUGCAUACACGUUUGUAACCUAGUAUAUACUUCCAUUCUCAACCCCAAAUCUCAGGUGUAAAAGUUAUGAGGGUUAGUUUGGUAAAAGUGUCUCAUGACACAUGACAUACAGAAAAAUAUUUGUCUUUAUUUGUUAAAAACUGUCCUUAUUUAUUUAAAACCAAUGUAAAUGGAUUUUUUUGUCUUUCAAAUCUUUUGAAGGAGAUAUAUAUAGUUUGCUAUAUUUUCUAUAUCUAUAGGAUAUAUAAUAGCUGUAAACUCCUUUAGAUGACUUAAUUAAAAAAAAAAAAAAAAAAAAAAAAAAAAAAACUACUUUUAGAUGGGUUAUGGAUGAAUGAAUAUGAACAUUGUUUAGUUUAUCUCUUUAGAUUCUUAUAGUUUUCCUUUUCUAUUUAGAUAAAUGGAUUCUUUUUUUUUCCUUGAACAAAAUGAUAGUUUCAUUGAUAAUGCGGAGGCCAGAAUGACUACAUAUGAUAACCUUAAGGGUAAUAUAGAACAAGUACAUUUGGACUUAAAGCUCACUUAUUGGUGAGCAUAACAUAUUGUACAAAAAUUAGAACAACAAAAAUACUAGAGCUACAUACUACAAGAGCCUAAGCGCUCAAUUGCGGUACCCAAGUAAUAUGCAACCAUUUAGAUGUAGCUAACUAUCAUAGUCUGCCAGCUCGAAAUAGAGACACGGCUUAAGCCAUCUAUUGUUUGAAUUCAGGCCCAAUGGCCCAAUUCUAACACAGAUCUUGUUUGGGAUUGAGUUCAGAUCCAGGCCCAAGAGAUCGAACCUAAUUCCAAACCCUACUCAUCUUGUGUUGCCCUCCUCUGUUAGCAACGCCAUCCAUGGCGGCGACAACUUGGUGUUUUUGCCUUUCAACAACCAUCAUCUUCAGCAGCAACCAAAUCAGACCAGUCACUACCUCCUAGUAGCCUUCUCUAAUUUCGACCACGAUCGGAAGCUCUAUCCCUGCUAGCACUAGCUCGCCGUCUUUGAAACCCGGUAUGAACCAAGUUCUCUCACCCCCAGCCUCUCUAAUCAAAAGCCAUAUGGUGAUCGAUCGAGGUUCUUGGGAUAUGAAUUUUGAUAUAUGGAUUCUGAUCCUAACAGCUAUCUAUUUAACGGUUUUAUCUCUCAACCUUAGUCUGGUUGGUUUUAAUGACAAAGGUACUAAGGCUACCUAAUUAAUUUAUGGAUUUUUUCCACUUCAAACAUGGUCUCUCCUUCAAUUUCUUCAUCUUCUGGUCAAUAUAUCUUUUUGCAAUUUAUUGUGCACAAUGUAAUUUUGGUGUUGUUUUUGUGUAUGGGUCUGUCGCACCGAUUAUACCUUUUUCUGUCUCACCCUCUAGCCUCCAGUCAUACUAUAACACUCAGGUAACUAAUUCGAUUUCUCCAGCUAUAUAUUUCAAAACAUAAGUUUCAGGUCUAUAUUCCUAUCUACAGACAUUGUAACUCUGUUUUAUUUGCUUCUAAGUGACAGGCAAACCAAGGAAGCAACAUUAACUUCAACAGCCAAGGACCAAAAUGAAUAACAAAAAAUGGACUGAAUGCCAAGGAUUG
This 22107-nucleotide long non-coding RNA is filed under the name Fragaria vesca (wild strawberry). RNAcentral's name for it is "long non-coding RNA (FVES_LNC003015)". The record is from RNAcentral. Lineage: Eukaryota; Viridiplantae; Streptophyta; Magnoliopsida; Rosales; Rosaceae.